Molecule: long non-coding RNA, 320 nt
Filed under: Brachypodium distachyon (stiff brome)
Lineage: Eukaryota; Viridiplantae; Streptophyta; Magnoliopsida; Poales; Poaceae
Description: long non-coding RNA (BDIS_LNC001175)
Source: RNAcentral
UCAGGAUGGGAUGAAUCUUAGCAGAUGAAUCAAAUUAAAGCAUAUAAACACUGAGUAAAUUGGAAUACAGAAACAGCUCAUCAAAGCAUCCAUCAAGCAACUGCGUCAAGAUUUGACAAUUGAGUUUCAAAAUUGAUGUUCUGAAAUUUCCACAACUCCAUCUCCACAGCUCCUCUACUUCUUCUCUGCAACUGAUCACUCCAUUGAAUCCAUUUAUUUCCUGCAAACAAAAAGAAAGAAAACAAACAUAAAACAAACCUUUUCAACAAGAAAAUCACUACAGAAAUGAAUUUAUUUCUAGGCUCCCUCCUAGUAGGGCU